UAAUCAGUUAUCGUUUAUUUGAUAGUACCCUCUACUUGGAUACCUGUGGCAAUUCUAGAGCUAAUACAUGCUAAAAACCUCGACUUCGGAAGGGGUGUAUUUAUUAGAUAAAAAACCAAUGCCCUCCGGGGCUCCAUGGUGAAUCAUAAUAACUUAACGAAUCGCAUGGCCUUGCGCCGGCGAUGGUUCAUUCAAAUUUCUGCCCUAUCAACUUUCGAUGGUAGGAUAGUGGCCUACCAUGGUUUCUACGGGUAACGGGGAAUUAGGGUUCGAUUCCGGAGAGGGAGCCUGAGAAACGGCUACCACAUCCAAGGAAGGCAGCAGGCGCGCAAAUUACCCAAUCCCGACACGGGGAGGUAGUGACAAUAAAUACUGAUGUGGAGCUCUUUUGGGUUUCGCAAUUGGAAUGAGUACAAUUUAAAUCCCUUAACGAGGAACAAUUGGAGGGCAAGUCUGGUGCCAGCAGCCGCGGUAAUUCCAGCUCCAAUAGCGUAUAUUAAAGUUGUUGCAGUUAAAAAGCUCGUAGUUGAAACUUGGGUUUGGUUGAUCGGUCCGCCUCACCGCGUGCACUGGUUCGACCGAACCUUUCCUUGUGGGGAGUCGCAUGCCCUUAAUUGGGUGUGUCGAGGAACCACGACUUUUACUUUGAAAAAAUUAGAGUGUUCAAAGCAGGCUUAAGCUCGGAUACAUUAGCAUGGAAUAAUAGAAUAGGACGUUGGUUCUAUUUUGUUGGUUUCUAGGACCGCCGUA
This 750-nucleotide ribosomal RNA is filed under the name Leciophysma saximontana. Its description in RNAcentral is "SSU rRNA". It matches the Rfam family "Eukaryotic small subunit ribosomal RNA", at positions 103 to 864 of the family's 1831-position model. The record is from RNAcentral. Lineage: Eukaryota; Fungi; Ascomycota; Lecanoromycetes; Peltigerales; Placynthiaceae.